This 490-nucleotide ribosomal RNA is filed under the name uncultured bacterium. Its description in RNAcentral is "partial 16S ribosomal RNA". It matches the Rfam family "Bacterial small subunit ribosomal RNA", at positions 30 to 507 of the family's 1533-position model. The record is from RNAcentral.
AUUGAACGCUGGCGGCAUGCCUUACACAUGCAAGUCGAACGGCAGCAUGAUCUAGCUUGCUAGAUUGAUGGCGAGUGGCGAACGGGUGAGUAAUACAUCGGAACGUGCCCUGUAGUGGGGGAUAACUAGUCGAAAGAUUAGCUAAUACCGCAUACGACCUGAGGGUGAAAGUGGGGGACCGCAAGGCCUCAUGCUAUAGGAGCGGCCGAUGUCUGAUUAGCUAGUUGGUGAGGUAAAGGCUCACCAAGGCGACGAUCAGUAGCUGGUCUGAGAGGACGAUCAGCCACACUGGGACUGAGACACGGCCCAGACUCCUACGGGAGGCAGCAGUGGGGAAUUUUGGACAAUGGGCGAAAGCCUGAUCCAGCAAUGCCGCGUGUGUGAAGAAGGCCUUCGGGUUGUGAAGCACUUUUGUCCGGAAAGAAAUGGCUCUGGUUAAUACCUGGGGUCGAUGACGGUACCGGAAGAAUAAGGACCGGCUAACUACGUG